RNAcentral lists this ribosomal RNA (313 nucleotides) under uncultured bacterium. Its description in RNAcentral is "bacterial SSU rRNA". It matches the Rfam family "Bacterial small subunit ribosomal RNA", at positions 30 to 337 of the family's 1533-position model. The record is from RNAcentral.
AUUGAACGCUGGCGGCGUGCUUAACACAUGCAAGUCGUGCGGGUAACAGGCGUAGCAAAUACGUGCUGACGAGCGGCGAACGGGUGCGUAAUACAUGGGAAUCUGCCCUUUAGUGGGGAAUAACCCGGCGAAAGCCGGGCUAAUGCCGGCAUAAGAUCUUCGGAUGAAAGCGGGGGGAUCGUAAGACCUCGCGCUGAUGGAUGAGCCCAUGUCGGAUUAGCAGUUGGUGAGGUAAAGGCUCACCAAAGGCGACGAUCCGUAGCUGGUCUGAGAGGACGGCCAGCCACACUGGGACUGAGACACGGCCCAGACU